Molecule: non-coding RNA, 1505 nt
Organism: Schizosaccharomyces pombe (fission yeast)
Lineage: Eukaryota; Fungi; Ascomycota; Schizosaccharomycetes; Schizosaccharomycetales; Schizosaccharomycetaceae
Source: the annotation of a GenBank genome assembly
CACCUUUUUAGCAUUCUCAUAAGUUUCAAGUCGAGCAAGAGCUAACCAUAAAUCAAUGGACAUGGGUAUUAAUUCAACGGCACGAGCUAAUAGUAUCCUUGCAUUAUCCACUUCUUCUUCUAAAUUUACAGCUUCUUUCCAUAAGCUUACAGAAGUCGGGUUAAAUUCUAAAGCUUUUUUUAUAAUCCUUUUUUUGUGCUGAGCUUGAUUUUCAAGUUUUUCGGCUUCAAGCCAUAACGUCACUGACUUUGGUAAUUUUUUAACGGCAUUUGCAAUAAUAACUUUUGCUUCUGCAGCCGGGUGUAGUCGUAUUGCUUCUAGCCAAACAUCCUCAGAGCGAGAACAAUUUUCGCAACCUUUUAAAAUUAAAGAUUGUGCUUGAGAUAAUUUAUUCGCGACCUCUUCAAGCCGCGCAGCAGCUACCCAGCCAGAGGCGUGCUUUGGAUUCGUUUCAAUAACACUUUGCAACAAUUUUCUAGCUUUUCUUAUAUCACCCAGGUCAUUGGCAUUUUUUGGAACCAUACUAUUCAGACUAGUUAAAUACCCCUUCGGAUCUAUAGUCGAUGGUGAAGUCAAAUUCGACGAAGCUUGUGCUAACUUGAUACCUAAAACUUUGUCACGAGCAGCUCCAAUUUCAACAAAAUUUGUUUUUGUCCCAUUCAUAUCUGGAGUUUCUGUUCCUGCUUGAGUAUCCACUGCAAAAUUAGAGAUAGCUUGAUUUUCAUUGCGAGCACUUGCAAGAACAAAAUCACUUGUUGCAUAAAAUCUUUCACGUCUCGGCUGUUUAGUCCUUUUUUUACGAGUUAGAUCGCCGGGUUCUGGGAUAUUAUUCCAGUCUUCAUCUGUCAAAGUGGAUAACCCACGUUUUAAGUCCGCAAAUUGUGAAGAAACCUUGGGGUUUUCUUUUUCAUAUUUUUCUUUCUGUAGCUGUUCUUGUUUUUCACGUUGGGAUUUUCUUCUUUUACUUAAAUGUUCCUCUACAGAUUGAUAUAUUUUAUCAGCUUCUUCGUCCUCAUGAUCAUAUGGAGCAGUAGCAAACAGCGCUACUUCAUUGUCAGGAUCCUGAUAACGAGGAUCGAUAUCUUCUUCUUCCUCUAUUUCUGAUUUCCUUUGUUCAAUUGCAGCCUUUAUAGAUUCUUGGGAUGGCAAUUCUUGAGCAGGCCCAAGAUCUGAACGCGUUGUAAAUCCUGUUGCACCACGUCCUAAACCUGCUACAUAGUUAGGAGGUGGCUGCAUAUUCAGAAAAUCUGGAUAAAAGUUUGCCAUUCUAAUUAUCUGCAAUUAAAUGCAAUAAGCCGAGCCUUUCGGCUUUAUAAAUAUCUGGUAGUGGCUUUCAAAUUUUAAAAGUAGGCAAUACGAAGAAGAGAAAUUAACUCCUAGCAGCUUUACUACAACAAAGUUAAAAAGAGCCAUUAGGUAAAAGUAAAUUUAGAAAAACUUAAGAUAGAAUAUUUCUUAAACAAAAUAAAUUUCCUACUGUAUGUAAUGAUUUUACAAUCAAACGA